Molecule: long non-coding RNA, 2256 nt
Organism: Hemicordylus capensis (graceful crag lizard)
Lineage: Eukaryota; Metazoa; Chordata; Lepidosauria; Squamata; Cordylidae
Exons: 3
Source: RefSeq, a predicted model, not a curated record
ACUCCCAGGUGCUGGAUCUGACUGGAAGGGUGAUGUUUGGCCCUGUUUACCAGGAAACCAAUGUUCCAAGAGCGUUUGAAGAGUGUUGUGCAUGUCCAACUUUGCAGUUGGAAAGAAGGGAGAGUUUAUCAGGAGAAUGUCUAAGUCAACGAAUACUCAAAUUCCCUUCAGGUGGGCCACAAGAGGGGCCAGAAUCUUUGUGAAGAUCCUGGGUGCUGAGGAAAGAGCGGACCCUGUAAUGGUAGUGACAACCUGUGUAUCUGAAGCGAAGGAAUGAACGACUCACCAGAUGAAUCAGCAAAUGUAGAGAGAGGUGUCCUUGUCCUGAGGGAGGAUGGCGCCAGACAAGACCACCCACAGGUGCCUUCGUGGGGGAAAUCUGGAACAUGUCCGAAGCUUCCUGAGGGAGCUGGACAAGGAAGAGGGCGAAGAGAAGGAUUCCCUGCCCCAUUUUCUAGAGGCUCUAAGCUUGUUUGUGCUGCUGGAGCAACUUAUUAAGUACCCAUUGGAACCAGGCCUGUUGGGACUCUGUUAAAAUAGGAGGUAUGGGGGUAGAAGGCAGAACGGAGAGCAGGAGGGAGUGGGCGGGAAGGCCCAAGUUCUGCUGGUACAUCUAGGUCUCGUGGUACUGGUUCUGGUGGUCCACUUCCUGCCUUGAACUCACUGGUUGGGUCAGCUGGGAAGGAUCCCAUUCCCGUCAUCGUCAGGCCGUUCUAGGUCAUUCUCAUGGGGUUUUUCUGGCAGCAUUGGGACUUUGCCACUGGGCAGCUUUGGCAUCAGAGAAACAGUCUUGCUGGGAGGCCUCUGUUGCUGGUCCACUCAGGGAUGGGAAACUCAAGCGGUGGGUAAGGAGGUGUGGCCAAGGGAGGCAAGUCUGCUCGGCAUGGAUGUUUGGGAGGCCGCAUGGUAGGCAGAACAGGGCCUUGCGCCAGUGGAGAGGACUGGUUGUUUCUGGGUCCUAGGCAUGGAGUAAAUGGGCCCAAUGGGCCUUCCAGUGGAUCCAUGCUGCCUCUGGUAUCAGAGGGCACCAGCGAGGUUCAGGUGGUCAUCGGUGUGCUAGCGGCAGUUGAGCAGGUCGCUACUGUAUGCUAAUAAGGUCUCCUUGGAGGAGGGAAGGUUUUCUUUCCCUUGGGGAGAAGGAUAUUUCUAAUUUUUCCAGGCAUCUGGGCCAUAGAGAGCCAAGAGACAGAAAGGAAGACAGAUAGGGGUGUGUGUGUAUGUGUAUAUAUACAGAGAGAGAGAGAGAGAGGACUCUGUGUAUGUAUAAAUAAGCAAAGAUGGUAAGAAAACACUGAGAAAUGUAUAGGAUAGUGAAGAAUAGAAGGCUUGGAUAGGAUUUUAAAAGGCUGUAUCUGGAGGAGGAUGCAGGACUAGAACUGGGUGGGGUUCUUUUACAGGCUCUUAAAAAAUUACAUAAUUUACAUAGUCCUGCCCUCUGGAACACAUGGGAAGGCUAACACACCUGAGAUGUCCUCAUCCAGCAGCAACAAAUGGACUUCAUAGCAUAUUUUGCCCUAUUCCUGCUGUUUUCCAAGUUAAAUCAUCUACAAAACCUUCAGCUUAUUUGAAGCAAACAACUAUUAGUGUUCACAAAGCACAUCAAACUCCUACUGUUAUAAACUCAGUAUCUGAGUUUAUAACAUCCUUGCUAAAUACAGUGCAGGAAUUUAUAUUUUAAAUAUCAAAAUAGAUUAAGGCUUCUCAAACUCUGUUUAAUGACCACCCUAAGUGAAGUGGAGAGAGAAAAGUGAAAAGUAGUACUCUAAUAGUAGUAUUCAGAGGACUGGGGACCAAGGGGUAAUCUAGGAGAAAAGGUAACUAGCAGGCCAUGCACACACACAGAAACAAGAUCCUUAAGGCAGGGGUUUCCAAUGCUGUGGUACUCCAGAUAUUGAACUAGAACUCUCAUCAUCCCAGGAACAAUUUAUUGUAGCUGGGAAUGGUGGGAGCUGGUUCAGUAACAUCUACUAUAUCACAGGUGCUUUAUGCUUUAAAGCAUAACGCACAAAGAAUACAAGGCUGUUGUCACUGUUCCCAUUGUACACAUAGUUCAUGCAGCCAACACCAUUCUGAGGGGAUAAUAUGGCAUUGUCCUCGUCCCCUGACCUGAUCAAGACUAGGGAUGUGCACGGACCAGUCCAGAGCCCAUUCUAAGGGCCUCCGGACCAGUCCAGACCUGGGGCCAGUUCAGCGCCGGGGGUGGACCUUUAAGGGCAGGGGAGCGUGUACUUACCCCUUCAUUUCCCCCUCCAGCGC